UUAAAAAUUUACUUUCCAUAUACUUCUAGAACAGAAAAUUGAUAGUUUCACCAAAAUAAAGGACUACAUCGAGAAAGAUGAAGAAAGGGAAUACAGGAAGAAAGGAAACCAACACAAGAGGAGGAGGAAGGAAUCCCUAGAAUGAGGUUGAAGGUUCAGAAAAGAGAACAAAUUUAAGCAGAUCAGGAGAUUUACUGACUGCCAAAAUCACCGUGUCAAUCAUGUAUCACCGAGCAAGUCGGAGGAGGAACACAAAUACGAGGACACGGUUCCUGAACCCGAGCGGCUCGGGUGGAGAACGACACCUAAAAUGAAAGAAGCUAGGCAUUUUCCUGCAACCUGGA
Long non-coding RNA from Sciurus carolinensis (gray squirrel), 344 nucleotides. RefSeq lists it as uncharacterized. The record is from RefSeq and is a predicted model, not a curated record. Lineage: Eukaryota; Metazoa; Chordata; Mammalia; Rodentia; Sciuridae. The transcript has 3 exons.